CACUUUGACCUCGGAUCAGGUACGAUCUCAU
This 31-nucleotide ribosomal RNA is filed under the name Bipolaris heveae. RNAcentral's name for it is "partial 28S ribosomal RNA". The record is from RNAcentral. Lineage: Eukaryota; Fungi; Ascomycota; Dothideomycetes; Pleosporales; Pleosporaceae.